RNAcentral lists this ribosomal RNA (338 nucleotides) under uncultured bacterium. RNAcentral describes it as "bacterial SSU rRNA". It matches the Rfam family "Bacterial small subunit ribosomal RNA", at positions 29 to 396 of the family's 1533-position model. The record is from RNAcentral.
AACGAACGCUGGCGGCAGGCCUAACACAUGCAAGUCGAACGCCCCGCAAGGGGAGUGGCAGACGGGUGAGUAACGCGUGGGAACCUACCUUACGGUCGGGAAUAGCUCAGGGAAACUUGAGGUAAUACCGGAUACGCCCUUACGGGGAAAGAUUUAUCGCCGUUAGAUGGGCCCGCGUCGGAUUAGCUAGUUGGUGAGGUAACGGCUCACCAAGGCGACGAUCCGUAGCUGGUCUGAGAGGAUGANCAGCCACACUGGAACUNAGACACGGCCCAGACUCCUACGGGAGGCAGCAGUGGGGAAUAUUGGACAAUGGGCGCAAGCCUGAUCCAGCCAUG